RNAcentral lists this ribosomal RNA (820 nucleotides) under uncultured bacterium. RNAcentral's name for it is "bacterial SSU rRNA". It matches the Rfam family "Bacterial small subunit ribosomal RNA", at positions 46 to 872 of the family's 1533-position model. The record is from RNAcentral.
GCUUAACACAUGCAAGUCGAGGGGUAGAGUUCUUCGGAACUUGAGACCGGCGCACGGGUGCGUAACGCGUAUGCAAUCUACCUUUUACAGAGGGAUAGCCCAGAGAAAUUUGGAUUAAUACCUCAUAGUAUAGUACAACCGCAUGGUUGAACUAUUAAAGUCACAACGGUAAAAGAUGAGCAUGCGUCCCAUUAGCUAGUUGGUAAGGUAACGGCUUACCAAGGCUACGAUGGGUAGGGGUCCUGAGAGGGAGAUCCCCCACACUGGUACUGAGACACGGACCAGACUCCUACGGGAGGCAGCAGUGAGGAAUAUUGGACAAUGGGCGCAAGCCUGAUCCAGCCAUGCCGCGUGCAGGAUGACGGUCCUAUGGAUUGUAAACUGCUUUUAUACGAGAAGAAACACUCCGACGUGUCGGAGCUUGACGGUAUCGUAAGAAUAAGGAUCGGCUAACUCCGUGCCAGCAGCCGCGGUAAUACGGAGGAUCCAAGCGUUAUCCGGAAUCAUUGGGUUUAAAGGGUCCGUAGGCGGUUUAAUAAGUCAGUGGUGAAAGCCCAUCGCUCAACGGUGGAACGGCCAUUGAUACUGUUAAACUUGAAUUAUUAGGAAGUAACUAGAAUAUGUAGUGUAGCGGUGAAAUGCUUAGAGAUUACAUGGAAUACCAAUUGCGAAGGCAGGUUACUACUAAUGGAUUGACGCUGAUGGACGAAAGCGUGGGUAGCGAACAGGAUUAGAUACCCUGGUAGUCCACGCCGUAAACGAUGGAUACUAGCUGUUGGAAGCAAUUUCAGUGGCUAAGCGAAAGUGAUAAGUAUCCCAC